UGUCAACAUACGACUUUAUCUUCUUGCCACGUGAUGCAAAAACCGAUUUCAUCAGUUAGAAAUCAAAAACAAUUUGAUCAGGCAUGGCCCUAAUUCCUUCCUAACGAAAUCUCACCCUGAAACAAACUCUAGAAUUCAAUUUGGGAAAAUUACUUCUCUUCCAAAUUUCAAAAUCACCACAUCAGAUGAUUUCCAAUCUCUAAUUUCCCAUCCUUUAAUCAUCCCUCAUCAUCCCAUAACGUGAACCCCCAAAACGCAAAGGAGAAAAUCAACGAAACCCAACCACUUCCGUGCACAGUGAAGAUUAAUAUCAGAUUGAGGGCUAUUAUAUUAUAUAUGUGAAGAGUUUCAGAUUGAAGGAUGUUUGUUAUAUAUAUGAAGUUUUUACAUAUGAACACAUUUUGGUGAUGAAUUUAUAAUUGGUUUUUGUUAGCAUCUCUAUAUUAUUAUCUAUUUAUUGAAUCAACUAUCGAUGUUGAACACAGUCCAAGUCCAUUGUGAAGGUCAGAUGUAUUCAGAUGUAUUCAGCAACCGCAACUGUAUCGUGGAAGCAGGAUAUAAUAUGUAAUAUUUUUGGAUUACUUUCAUUUGACAUAGUAUGGUUACUUUUGGAUCCUGGUUAAUCUCUAUAAGCCUUUAUACUCCGAAUAAGCCGAGCUAGAGAGAAAAAGAAACAGAAAGUGGGAGUAUUUUGAGGAAGCUAGAAUGAAAGUGCAAGUCCAAACCAAGGCACACACAGCUAACGAGAAAUCAAUGGCAUUUAAAAGAACCUUGAGAUGCCAUUAUUGAAGCAAAUUUGUUGUGUCUGGAUCAGAAACUAAAUACUUGAUACAAGCUGAGACGGAUGGCCUGCUUAAUGCCAUUUUUUUGUUCCUUGAAGAACUGAAGUUUGCAGAACCAACUAGACGUUCUGCAUUACUUAUUUUUGAUAAAUGAUAGUAGUUUUUAAUAAUCGAGUUGUAGUAUAGGCAAGUCUUCUAGUUAUAGUUGAAAAACCAUUGGUUUUUCUGUAAUGUUAUGUAUUUCAGCAUGGUGCAAUAGUAUUGUUGAAAAACCAUUUCUAGGAUCU
This 1069-nucleotide long non-coding RNA is filed under the name Olea europaea subsp. europaea. Lineage: Eukaryota; Viridiplantae; Streptophyta; Magnoliopsida; Lamiales; Oleaceae. The record is from RNAcentral.